This 580-nucleotide small RNA is filed under the name Pan troglodytes (chimpanzee). RNAcentral describes it as "retained intron". Lineage: Eukaryota; Metazoa; Chordata; Mammalia; Primates; Hominidae. The record is from RNAcentral.
UCCUGAAGACGGACAGUGACUCGGACCUACAGCUCUACAAGGAACAGGGUGAGGGGCAGGGUGACCGGAGCCUGCGGGAGCGUGAUGUGCUGGAACGGGAGUUUCAGCGGGUCACCAUCUCUGGGGAGGAGAAGUGUGGGGUGCCGUUCACAGACCUGCUGGAUGCAGCCAAGAGUGUGGUGCGGGCGCUCUUCAUCCGGGAGAAGUACAUGGCCCUGUCCCUGCAGAGCUUCUGCCCCACGACCCGCCGCUACCUGCAGCAGCUGGCUGAAAAGCCUCUGGAGACCCGGACCUAUGAACAGGGCCCCGACACCCCUGUGUCUGCUGGUGGGACUCCCCAUCUCUGCCCCAUGCCAUGUGCCCUAGCCUCCUGGGCUUCUCAGCCUGGUGCCUGGGCACCUCUGCCCUGCCUGCCUCUCCCUACAACCCAGGCUCAUUCCAACCUCUUGGGGUACAGGGGUGGAGGUUGGGCAGGAGCUGUCUGACCUACUGGGUCUUCAACAUCUCUUGCCCUCUGUGGGGCCUUUGGGUUGGGCAGUGGGUGGCUUGGAAGAGCCCUGCUCUGACUUUACCCUCCUCA